This is a ribosomal RNA of 176 nucleotides. It matches the Rfam family "Bacterial large subunit ribosomal RNA", at positions 2730 to 2925 of the family's 2925-position model.
CAGGGGCAUCGCCGGGUAGCUACCUUCGGUUAGGAUAAACGCUGAAAGCAUCUAAGCGUGAAGCCGUCUUCAAGAUUAGGUUUCAUAGGCUGGCGAGAGACUAUCGCCUUGAUAGGCCCUAGGUGUAAGCGCAGUAAUGCGUUGAGCCGAGGGGUACUAAUAAGCCAUCUGAUUUU